AUGCUUAACACAUGCAAGUCGAACGGCAGCAGGCAGUUUCUUCGGAUUCUGUGCUGGCGAGUGGCGGACGGGUGCGUAACGCGUAGGAAUCUACCCUGAAGCGGGGGACAACCUGGGGAAACUCGGGCUAAUACCGCAUACCCUCUACGGAGGAAAGCUGGGGACCGGUUUACCGGCCUGGCGCUUUAGGAUGAGCCUGCGUAAGAUUAGCUUGUUGGUGGGGUAAAAGCCUACCAAGGCAACGAUCUUUAGCUGGUCUGAGAGGAUGAUCAGCCACACUGGGACUGAGACACGGCCCAGACUCCUACGGGAGGCAGCAGUGGGGAAUAUUGGACAAUGGGCGAAAGCCUGAUCCAGCAAUGCCGCGUGUGCGAUGAAGGCCUUCGGGUUGUAAAGCACUUUCAAUCGUGAAGAAAGCUUUUGGGUUAAUACCCUAGAAGUUUGACGUUAACGAUACAAGAAGCACCGGCUAACUCUGUGCCAGCAGCCGCGGUAAGACAGAGGGUGCGAGCGUUAAUCGGAAUUACUGGGCGUAAAGCGUACGUAGGCGGAAAUUUAAGUCAGAUGUGAAAGCCCUGGGCUCAACCUAGGAACUGCAUUUGAAACUGGAUUUCUAGAGUAUGGUAGAGGGAAGUGGAAUUUCCGGUGUAGCGGUGAAAUGCAUAGAUAUCGGAAGGAACACCAGUGG
RNAcentral lists this ribosomal RNA (688 nucleotides) under uncultured bacterium. RNAcentral's name for it is "bacterial SSU rRNA". It matches the Rfam family "Bacterial small subunit ribosomal RNA", at positions 44 to 715 of the family's 1533-position model. The record is from RNAcentral.